GUAGGUGGCAUGCGUUGUCCGGAAUUAUUGGGCGUAAAGCGCGCGCAGGUGGUUCUUUAAGUCUGAUGUGAAAGCCCCCGGCUCAACCGGGGAGGGUCAUUGGAAACUGGGGAACUUGAGUGCAGGAGAGGAAAGUGGAAUUCCACGUGUAGCGGUGAAAUGCGUAGAUAUGUGGAGGAACACCAGUGGCGAAGGCGACUUUCUGGCCUGUAACUGACACUGAGGCGCGAAAGCGUGGGGAGCAAACAGGGAUUAGAUACCCUGGUAGUCCACGCCGUAAACGAUGAGUGCUAAGUGUUGGGGGGGUUUCCCGCCCCUCAGUGCUGCAGCUAACGCAUUAAGCACUCCGCCUGGGGAGUACGGUCGCAAGACUG
RNAcentral lists this ribosomal RNA (374 nucleotides) under uncultured organism. Its description in RNAcentral is "partial 16S ribosomal RNA". It matches the Rfam family "Bacterial small subunit ribosomal RNA", at positions 527 to 896 of the family's 1533-position model. The record is from RNAcentral.